Molecule: ribosomal RNA, 112 nt
Filed under: Caerostris darwini
Lineage: Eukaryota; Metazoa; Arthropoda; Arachnida; Araneae; Araneidae
Source: RNAcentral
AACGGCCAUAUCAUGCUGAAUAUACCGGUUCUCGUUAGAUCACCGAAGUCAAACAUCACUGGGCGCGGUCAGUACUUGGGUGGGUGACCACUUGGGAACACCGCGUGCCGUU